UUAGGAGACCGCACCAAAACGUACCGAAUUGAAUGUGCCUUUUCACAGCCAUUGUACAAGCUUUGAAGCUUUAGCACAAAUGCUUUUUCAAACCCAUGAACAUGAUGCACCCGAGAGAUGCAAGAUAUGAAAUUGUUACUACAACAGGCAUUGAAACAUUUGUUAAGAAAGGAAGUUUAUGAAAAUACGCCUUAACAAUCAUUAGAUACUCGUCUUCAGGAAUCAAUUCCUCUGUAAUAACAAUUUUCAAAAAGCAUCAACUGCUUUAAGCUCCUCAACAUCACAUAGAUCUUCAAUUAAAAUAGGGCAGAUCCGGCCAUCACUAUUCCUUCCACUGCUCUUUUGCUUUAGAGAACGCUUGAAUUACAGAAUGCGUGUAAGGCUCUCUUGUUCAAGGUCCAGCGAUCAAACCUUGCACAAUAACAACAGAGUUAGUAGUUCCAUCGCCAGCCUAAUCCUUGGACUCGCCAAUGUUCUCCAAUUAACAGAGGUAGUAGGAAAUCAACCAAAAAAUAAGAAUGAGUUUGAAAAACUGUUUAUGGCCCUAAAGAACUUGAAAAUCAGAAAUGAUCAAGAAUGAGUGACUAAACAUUUUAAUCGACUAAACAUACAAAACUUGAAAAACCUAAUAUUGAAGUACUCUGAAUGAACAUGCAAUUGCACGAGCUGGUGACAACUGACUUUACUGCAAACCCUUGGAGAUGAUACUCUACAUACCAUGAUAACCUGAUAGCUGAUAUCUCAUGUUUGCAUGUAGUCCAAUGAAAGCAGAAGCACCAUAACCAAGCACAUUAGUACUCACAGAUGGGUUUGCCACAGAUAACCUGUCAGGCAUUAAAAAUUGCCCAAAUUAAACAAAUGUUAGACCGGCUUAGACAGUAAACGGAACAAUAUUCUAAUUUUACUUUAUUUAUAACGAAUAAGUGAACAAAGGAAUGAAAAGGAAGUUUGGCAACAGUCUUUUUACCAGCCAGAUAGUUUGACAAAGAAUCUUGCACUGCUCCUGCAGCUAAUCCCACCAUACACAACUCUGUUCAAAUAUACUGUUUGGGAGCUUUUGUAAUGUAUUUUGCAAGUCAAACAGGAAGGUAUUUCCAUAAGAAGGUUCACUUCACAUGCUCAACAAUUCAAAUUUGCAGAUGAUAUUUCUCAAAAUGAAGGGCUCUAUUUGGCUUGCCAACAAUCUUCCUCACCGCUAUCAUCCUUGCUAUACCGGUUAAACUGAACAGUCUUCAUUCUGACAUUUGCCCUAUUAACCUGAGUACACAAGAAUCCGAAACAACUGUUAGAAAUUAUAAUCUUUAUAUAUAGCCAAAAUGUUGAAUAAGAUGAUGUACUUGAUAAUAAAUACCUGAGUUAAUAAAUAAUUAAGGGGCCGGUAACAAUCUCAGCAUCUUAUCAAGUGGGGAAAGCCUACGCAACGAAGAUGCUGCUUGCUUUCAAGCAGUAAUAACUUUCCAAUUCCAUAAGGUAGCUUAAUGCCCUUUUAAAAAUAUCUCCACCAGCCUAACAAUUAUUCAUGGAAAUUCAAUUUGCAUUUGUCGCCUUCAAUUUGCUCAUCUUUGUCCAGAGUAUUGUUUUUGCAUUUACUUAGCUAGCCUACAAGCCACCUGCAGAUGGUUUUAAAUAAUGUGUGAGAGUGUGAAUUCGAACGAAUUAAUCAAAUAUGAUGACACGAGAAACAAAAUUAAAAUAACCACAAGAAGUAGAAAUAUACUUUUGUUAUAUUUAGUGCAUCUUCUGUGUGUGCUCAAACGCAAUGCCUCAAGGCUCAAGAUAAUUUUAUGACCAUCAAUCUUUUGCCGCCAUAUGCAGACUUGAAACAUUGGCGGUGGUUCUAAGGAACUUGAAAAUUAGAAAAGUUUCAAAAUGAGUGACUAAAUAUGAUAAUCGAAACUAAUUAAAUAUACAUGCCUUGUAAAUAUGAAGCUAAAUUACUCAAAUGUAUGUGCCUCUUCGCAGCAAUUGCUCGUGGUGGAAACUUUACUGCAAAGACUUCCUCAAACCCUUGAAGAUCACACUCUUCCUGGCAACAAAGAAACAGAGACGAUAUACGAAGAUGAUUUUACUAACAAGUGAGAGCUUGCAAAUAUUGGAAGGAUAACGAUUGCUCAUAACCCGAAUCCCCAAUACCCUCUAAUAUCUCACUCGAGUGAGUUCAAGCUCCCAAAAUUCACUACAGUGAAACUCUCAAAACAAAAUUCUCUUCAAAUAUUCUCAACUCAAAUUUGAUGAUGACAUCUCUCGAAGGAAGGCAAAAAAUCUAACACUGAUCAAAUUGGCUUGUGAACAAUUAAUGUUCCUGGCCAUCAUUCAUACUAGGUGUGGCGAACAAUUAAGCUGCUUAGUAUCCUGAACCUGAUAACUUACACAAACAAAAACAACUUGCCUAAAGUUUAAUAUUUAGAGGCAGAACAGUAAAGAAGAAGAUAUAUAUUGAUACUAAAAUUUGACCUGCGUUACCCUGAUGUCAAGAAUAGCAGGAUCUCAUGUGGGCAAAAUCAUCGCAAUACGAGAUGCUUGCAAAAUUGAAGCAGCAUCUUAUCACCUGUAAUUUAAUUAAGAUAAUAACUUUCCCCGACUAUUUCAAUGCAUUAUUGGCAACUAAAUUCAGAGGGCGCUAAUUAAAUACCCUUUUAACAAUAUCUUCUUAUUCUUCUCUAAUCUAGCAGUUAUUUGGAAAAUCUAAAUGACAGUCAUGCAUCAAUGGCGUCAAAAUUUGGCUACAAAGCAGCCUAGAAAAGGCUUCACCCUCAGAAUGAGAGCAUGAAUUCGAAUAAUAUGAUGAAUGAAGAAACAAAGGCAUAAUACCACAAGAAGUCAAACUUUUCCCCAGAGCUCUGUUUCUGUUUGUGCUAAAGCAAAUGGAAACCAGUGGAAAUGAAUUUCUACGAACUAGACAUAUCAGCCAAAACAGGUACUCUGUACAAGCAAAGUAAAAGAGAGUUACAACAAAAUUUAAGAUUGAUAUGAUAAUUAAAAUUUCAGUCACCAUAUAAUUAAUAGAAAACUUUGUACACAAUGAUUUAUUGCAUAUUAAGAUUGGAUAGCUAAAUUUUAAUUGCUAUACAAAAUAUGAUAUUAGCAUUAGGAGACCGCACCAAAACGUACCGAAUUGAAUGUGCCUUUUCACAGCCAUUGUACAAGCUUUGAAGCUUUAGCACAAAUGCUUUUUCAAACCCAUGAACAUGAUGCACCCGAGAGAUGCAAGAUAUGAAAUUGUUACUACAACAGGCAUUGAAACAUUUGUUAAGAAAGGAAGUUUAUGAAAAUACGCCUUAACAAUCAUUAGAUACUCGUCUUCAGGAAUCAAUUCCUCUGUAAUAACAAUUUUCAAAAAGCAUCAACUGCUUUAAGCUCCUCAACAUCACAUAGAUCUUCAAUUAAAAUAGGGCAGAUCCGGCCAUCACUAUUCCUUCCACUGCUCUUUUGCUUUAGAGAACGCUUGAAUUACAGAAUGCGUGUAAGGCUCUCUUGUUCAAGGUCCAGCGAUCAAACCUUGCACAAUAACAACAGAGUUAGUAGUUCCAUCGCCAGCCUAAUCCUUGGACUCGCCAAUGUUCUCCAAUUAACAGAGGUAGUAGGAAAUCAACCAAAAAAUAAGAAUGAGUUUGAAAAACUGUUUAUGGCCCUAAAGAACUUGAAAAUCAGAAAUGAUCAAGAAUGAGUGACUAAACAUUUUAAUCGACUAAACAUACAAAACUUGAAAAACCUAAUAUUGAAGUACUCUGAAUGAACAUGCAAUUGCACGAGCUGGUGACAACUGACUUUACUGCAAACCCUUGGAGAUGAUACUCUACAUACCAUGAUAACC
Molecule: long non-coding RNA, 3814 nt
Filed under: Citrus sinensis (sweet orange)
Lineage: Eukaryota; Viridiplantae; Streptophyta; Magnoliopsida; Sapindales; Rutaceae
Description: long non-coding RNA (CSIN_LNC001077)
Source: RNAcentral